AGCACGCCGCGUAGAGUGAAGAAGGUUUUCGGAUCGUAAAGCUCUGUUGUAAGAGAAGAACGUGUGUGAGAGUGGAAAGUUCACACAGUGACGGUAACUUACCAGAAAGGGACGGCUAACUACGUGCCAGCAGCCGCGGUAAUACGUAGGUCCCGAGCGUUGUCCGGAUUUAUUGGGCGUAAAGCGAGCGCAGGCGGUUUAUUAAUUCUGAGGUUAAAGGCAGUGGCUUAACCAUUGUUCGCUUUGGAAACUGGUAGACUUGAGUGCAGAAGGGGAGAGUGGAAUUCCAUGUGUAGCGGUGAAAUGCGUAGAUAUAUGGAGGAA
RNAcentral lists this ribosomal RNA (324 nucleotides) under uncultured bacterium. RNAcentral describes it as "bacterial SSU rRNA". It matches the Rfam family "Bacterial small subunit ribosomal RNA", at positions 390 to 706 of the family's 1533-position model. The record is from RNAcentral.